UAAUACGUAGGGUGCGAGCGUUAAUCGGAAUUACUGGGCGUAAAGCGUGCGCAGGCGGCUUUGCAAGACAGAUGUGAAAUCCCCGGGCUCAACCUGGGAACUGCAUUUGUGACUGCAAGGCUAGAGUACGGCAGAGGGGGAUGGAAUUCCGCGUGUAGCAGUGAAAUGCGUAGAUAUGCGGAGGAACACCAAUGGCGAAGGCAAUCCCCUGGGCCUGUACUGACGCUCAUGCACGAAAGCGUGGGGAGCAAACAGG
This 256-nucleotide ribosomal RNA is filed under the name uncultured bacterium. RNAcentral's name for it is "partial 16S ribosomal RNA". It matches the Rfam family "Bacterial small subunit ribosomal RNA", at positions 521 to 776 of the family's 1533-position model. The record is from RNAcentral.